Molecule: ribosomal RNA, 450 nt
Filed under: uncultured bacterium
Lineage: Bacteria
Description: partial 16S ribosomal RNA
Rfam family: Bacterial small subunit ribosomal RNA
Source: RNAcentral
GUGGGGAAUUUUGGACAAUGGGCGCAAGCCUGAUCCAGCAAUGCCGCGUGCAGGAAGAAGGCCUUCGGGUUGUAAACUGCUUUUGUACGGAACGAAACGGUCCUGGCUAAUAUCCGGGGCUAAUGACGGUACCGUAAGAAUAAGCACCGGCUAACUACGUGCCAGCAGCCGCGGUAAUACGUAGGGUGCGAGCGUUAAUCGGAAUUACUGGGCGUAAAGCGUGCGCAGGCGGUGCUGUAAGACAGGCGUGAAAUCCCCGGGCUUAACCUGGGAACUGCGUUUGUGGCUGCAAGGCUAGAGUACGGCAGAGGGGGGUGGAAUUCCUGGUGUAGCAGUGAAAUGCGUAGAUAUCAGGAGGAACACCGAUGGCGAAGGCAGCCCCCUGGGCCUGUACUGACGCUCAUGCACGAAAGCGUGGGGAGCAAACAGGAUUAGAAACCCCAGUAGUCC